This 468-nucleotide ribosomal RNA is filed under the name uncultured bacterium. Its description in RNAcentral is "partial 16S ribosomal RNA". It matches the Rfam family "Bacterial small subunit ribosomal RNA", at positions 28 to 507 of the family's 1533-position model. The record is from RNAcentral.
GUCGAACGCUGGCGGCGUGCUUAACACAUGCCAGUCGAACGGAAAGGCCCUGCUUUUGUGGGGUGCUCGAGUGGCGAACGGGUGAGUAACACGUGAGUAACCUGCCCUUGACUUUGGGAUAACUUCAGGAAACUGGGGCUAAUACCGGAUAGGAGCUCCUGCUGCAUGGUGGGGGUUGGAAAGUUUCGGCGGUUGGGGAUGGACUCGCGGCUUAUCAGCUUGUUGGUGGGGUAGUGGCUUACCAAGGCUUUGACGGGUAGCCGGCCCGAGAGGGUGACCGGCCACAUUGGGACUGAGAUACGGCCCAGACUCCUACGGGAGGCAGCAGUGGGGAAUAUUGCACAAUGGGCGGAAGCCUGAUGCAGCAACGCCGCGUGCGGGAUGACGGCCUUCGGGUUGUAAACCGCUUUCGCCUGUGACGAAGCGUGAGUGACGGUAAUGGGUAAAGAAGCACCGGCUAACUACGUG